CUUUGUCUUGUGUGCACUGAGAAAGAGCGAAGAGAUUAUUCAGGCUCAGCUGAACGCAGCUCUAGCGCAAAACCCUGGACUCUGGUUGUCUUUUUUAGGAGACUUGAAUGUCUCACUGUCUGGCGUUUCGGUCCUGCCACGUGUCUCAAGUGUAGCAGGGCUACUGGAUCAGGCAGCGGAUCUGACUGAGGGACAUGUGACAUUAACAGUAGACCAAGCAGUAUAUCGUGUAGAAAUGAAACACGAGAACUUUAAAGAGGAAGUUAACGGGUCUGAAAGUGUCUGGAUAUGUGUCCUGGCUCAGGAGCGGUCGCUCUGCUUGAACAUCAGCAGGAACUCAAUGCAGCAUGGAGAGAACGGUCUUCAUGCUCAACUUAUUCACUCUUUUCCUUGGUUUCUCUCAGCAGGACUCCCGUUUACCUCCAGUGCAGCUCUGGAUGUAAAGCGGAAUGAAAGUGGGCUUUCUGUUGAGCUUGCACUCCAUGCUGGAGCCCAAGACCUGAAGCUCACACUUCAGAAGAAUCUGCACAACUCUACAGAAAUUA
Clarias gariepinus (North African catfish) is the source of this 545-nucleotide long non-coding RNA. RefSeq lists it as uncharacterized. The record is from RefSeq and is a predicted model, not a curated record. NCBI's taxonomy places the organism in Eukaryota, Metazoa, Chordata, Actinopteri, Siluriformes, Clariidae. The transcript has 3 exons.